This is an RNA transcript of Myotis brandtii (Brandt's bat), 1514 nucleotides long. RefSeq lists it as uncharacterized. The transcript is spliced from 3 exons. The record is from RefSeq and is a predicted model, not a curated record. Lineage: Eukaryota; Metazoa; Chordata; Mammalia; Chiroptera; Vespertilionidae.
UCUGUUUGUGAUUAGCACGCAGCCCCGCAGAAUGGAGUAAACAGAAACUUCUAGGCGUCCCCACACCCCCCUCCGAGGCACAGCAGAAGUCAGAUGCUCCAGGAUUAAUCGCGGAGAGCUCAGGACACGACCACAAACGCCGUGUGGACUUGCAACUUGCUGCCUUUUCCCAGUCCCCUUGCCAAGAUGGGAGUGGGGGGGUGGGAUGCGAAGGGGUGGGGGCCCCGCCUGCCGGGGACCACAUGGAAUCCUCCCAGGCAGAGCUCCGAGUGACACUGACGGGCAAAUCGGCGGCGUCCAGAGCCGCAGGCAGCAUCCGGGGGCACGGGCCGCUGGGGGCGCCCCAGGCAGGCUUCCUGGAACCCCGGCUCCACAGCUGCCGGCACCCUGACACAGGCCAGAUAAGAGCCGGCCGCGCUAUCAGGGCCAGCAGCGCACAGUCGCAACGACCACGGGGACAGCAGGCUCCUGGGAGGCGGCGCAAGUCCUGGCUGGAGUCCUGCCCUGAAUGGGAACCCAUUUGCUACAGCGACCAACCAGGCUGCUCCCAGGAGGAUGGUGACAGGCUCCUGAAGGUCCGGACCUGCUGCUGGAACUGGCUCGGCCUUAGGCUCAAGCCCAGACCCGAGUGGUGGUCCCAGCUCCAGGGUGAUUGGCUAGUCCCGAAGCCCCCUGGGUCGCCCCCUCGGUCCCGGGCAAACAAGGACCUUGGCACCUAUGAUGUUACUGUGCUCCUGAGGCUAUUUUCAUCGAGGGUGGCUGUCGGGUGGGAAUACUGUCACGGUGUGCUGCCGUGCGUCUCUUCCCAACUUCAUUUUUAGCGACGUCAGCCCACGAAGACCCAAACCAUUCCUUUCAAUGCCGGCAUGACACAAGCCCCAGGAGGUUGUAAGAAGAAAGCCCUUUCGACAACCACGUCUCCACUUGCUAACCAGCUCUCCAACUUUCUCGGUCCCAAAACAUGAGUAGAGCCCAGCUGCCUCCACUCUUCAGUAAGAAGAAUUUGACCGGCUCUACCCGCCGCCUGUAACUGGACGCUAACCACCUCCUGUCUCCUCCACUGCAUCCGCCCGGCCCAAGUGCCAUCAUCUUUCUCUGGACCAUUACAGUUGCCUUCUCACUGGGGUCUCCGCUUCUCCUCCUGCCGCUCUGACAGUCUGUUCUCCACUUGCAGCCAGUCGGGUCCUGUUUAAAGGAAAUCAGAUCCUGUCCUUCCUCUGCUCAGGACACCAUCGUCUCCCAAGUCCUGGCUCCCACCUCACCCAGGGUAAAAGGCAAAGUCCUCACCAUGGCAACAAGGUCCUGCAGGAUCCUGGAGCUCAUCCCCUCACUCUGCCCCUCACUGCACUUGCUGUUUUCAAUUGUGCCAGGCACAGUCCUGCCUCAGGACCUUUGCACUUGCUUUCCCCUCUGCCGGGGCACUCAUUGUCCAGAUCUCCACUGGCUCACUCUUCCGUCAUCCACUAUACUAUAUAUUUUUCUUUUCUUCAAUGUCCCCUAAAAUGUAAGCUUCC